UUGUAAAUCAGAUAUAUAAUAAAAGUCUUCUAGAAAUAUAUGUAGAAAACCUAAUGUAGGAUGGUGUAUUGGCAUUUGGUCAAUUACGCAACCCAUUCCUACUUUGUCAUGAUGAUGGGCCCAACCCCAUCUCUCUUUGUUGACUUUGCCUAAUUUGAAUCCUUUGUCCGCUUAAAUAUUUUGAGCUUCUCCUCUACCCAUAUAAGCAUCCUUUUCUGUUCCAUCUUUAGAGAACACUUUUUUGCAGCCUAUCACCUAGAGAGAGAAACUGAGCUGUGUGAGACCAGAGAGACCUCUGUGGUAUCCUCUUUUUCCGGCGAUCGUAGCGGCAAGUCUUGUGAGCGUAGAGAGGGCUUCUGUUCCCCGACCUUUGUGUGUCCGUCGUUCUUGCUCUGGUGUGUGGACGUCCCGUGGAAACCCUGAGCCUGUGAGGUGCAAACGUAAUAGUGGUAUCAGAGCACCGUUCGGUCGCCAUCGUCGUCGCCAUCGUCGUCGCACCAGGAGCAACUCCGCCAAGCACUGCCGCCAUCGCCGCCGUGCGCCGCCGCCAUCUGCCACCUUCGUCCGCUGCUCUAGUCAGAUUAUCCAGCUAGGUAAGACGAGACACCCUAAGGGUUCUCGCUCAGGUAUUACAGCUAGGAGCCCAACUUUAUUUUCCGUUUUUUCGUUUUCCAUUGAUAUCCCCUCCCCGGCUGUGCCUGAGUUGUUGGCCUCGGUUCUCCAGUUACUUGGUGUUUCUGCUUUUGAAUUUUUUUGCAUACUUUGUGUUUGCUUGAAUUCCUUUGUGGUUUUCUACUCCUCUGUGAUCAGUUUGUUUAUCCUCUGUGGAUUGUGUGACUUGAUUCUUAAUUGUUGCAAUGGCUGCAAAUCAAUAUGGUCUUCUUCCUUUCAAUGGAAGGACUGAUUUUGAUAUUUGGAAGCAAAAGAUUAAAUGUGUUUUAAUCCAACAAAAAGUAUUUAGGGCUGUUAGUGGAAUAUACCUAGAUACUGAGGAUCAAUUAAAACGAGCUGAACUAAACGAAACUGCAUGUUCCACAAUUUACCUGAACUUGUCUGACUCUGUGCUUAGAAAGGUAGGUAUCAUGGAAAAUGCUAAGGAUUUGUGGGAAAAACUUGUUUCAUUGUACACUGAUACUUCCUUACCUGGAAAGUUGUUUCUGCUUGAAAAAUUCUUUAGGUUUAGACUUGAUCUAACUAAAGAUAUUGAAGAAAACCUAGACGUGUUUAAUAAGCUAAUUCAAGACAUAAAAUUGACUAGUGACAAACACAUUGAUGAUUACACUCCUAUUGUUCUUCUUAAUGCCAUUCCAGACUCUUAUAACGAUGUCAAAUCUGCCAUCAAGUAUGGUAGAGAUGAAAUAUCUCUCGAUAUAGUGGUAAAUGGUUUAAAAAGUAAGGAAUUAGACCUUAAACAACAUAGGCCCAGUAGUAAUCAAUCUAGGGAUUCAGGGGAAGCCAUGUUUGUGAGGGGUAGAUCAAAGAGUAGAUCCAAACACAAACAGAAGGAUGGCCAGGUUAGAAACAAUAGUCAAAAUGGUAGGAAGAGGGGGAAGUCCAAGAAGAGGGUUUGUUACAACUGUAACAGCCCAGGGCAUUUUGCUAAUGCCUGUCCACAUCCUAAGAGAGCUGAACAAGCUAAUAUAGUCUCAGAUGGAAAUAAACUUGGUGAUGUUUUUUCUGUUUGUGAACAUAGUAUAGUUUCAGAUGGUAAUAGACUUGGUGAUGAGUGGCUAAUUGACUCUGGAUGCUCUUUUCACAUGACACCUUACAAGCACUUGUUUGAUUCUUAUGAGGCAUGCACUUCUGGUUUUGUGUCAUUAGCUGAUAGUAAGAAAUGCAAUGUGCUAGGUAUAGGUAAUAUCUGCCUAAAAUUUGAUUGUGGUAGUGUGUUUACUGUGAAAAAUGUGAGGCAUGUACCUGCUUUGUGUCAUAAUUUGCUCUCUGUUACUGUUCUUGAGGAUGCUAAUUUAGAGGGUAGAUGGGGAAAAGGACGCAUGAAAAUUUUUAAAAAUUCUCUUGUGUUAUUCAAUGCUAUUAGGCGAAAUAACUUGUACGUUUGUUGUGCUGAUCCUUUUGCUGAAUCUGCUAAUGCUGUAUGUUCUGAUAUGACUUCUUUGUGGCAUCAUAGAUUAGGACAUAUGUCUAAUAAGGGUUUAGAAAUUCUGCAUAAAGGGGGUUAUUUUGGGGAGGACUCUGUGUCUUCUAUGCCUUUCUGUGAAGCAUGUGUGUUAGGGAAACAACAUAGGGUGAGCUUUCCCAUUUCCUCAUACCCUAGGCUUACCAAAAGCACGUCUGUACUGGAAUAUGUGCAUUCUGAUGUUUGGGGACCUGCUAAUCUCUCAACCCAUGGGGGGAAGAGAUAUUACCUGUCAAUCAUAGAUGAUUAUUCUAGGAAGGUCUGGGUGCACCUACUAGAGAGAAAAUCUGAUGUUUUUCAAAAUUUCAAAAAUUGGAAAAUUUUGAUUGAAAACCAAACUGGUAAGAAAAUUAGAAUUCUAAGAACUGACAAUGGUUUAGAAUUCUGCAAUAAGGAAAUGAACCAACUUUGUGUUGAUAGUGGGAUUAGGAGACAUAGGACUGUCACCUACACUCCCCAACAGAAUGGAGUGGCUGAGAGGAUGAAUAGGACUCUCUUAGAUAAGGUUAGGAGCAUGUUGACAGCCUCGGGGUUACCAAAGAAGUUUUGGGGUGAAGCAGUUAUGACUGCUGCAUACUUAGUGAAUAGGUCACCCUCGGUACCUUUAGGUGGGGAAUGUCCUGAAGUGGUCUUCACUGGAAAACCACUCGAUUUAUCAAACCUUAGAGUUUUUGGUUGUGCAGCGUAUGUGCACCAAAACGGUGAUAAACUUGACCCUAGAUCUAAGAAGGGAGUUUUCUUAGGUUAUCCAGAGGGGGUUAAGGGCUAUAGAGUUUGGGAUAGAACCAUAGCCGGUUUUAAGGUUGUGAUUAGUAGAGACGUUGUUUUCAAUGAAGUUGAUUUCCCUUGUUUGCCAAAUGCUGUUCUUGAACCUAAAUUUGGUUUGGAAGAGACUCAUUUUGAGGUGGAGUCUCAACCAAACAACUGUGUGCCAUUGCCUGAUAUGCAUACCACCCUUAGUGAGGUGGAGCCUUUGCAUGAUACUGAUGCCACCACCAUUGGUGAGGUGGAGCAUCAACAUGAGCAUCAACAUGAGCAUGAACAUGAGCAUGAUAAUUUGCAUGAUGUGCAUGUUGAUUCUGAUUUUCCUGAACAAGUUGAAGAAAUUUCUUUGCCUGUUGAGCCUGAUUUACAUGAUUAUCAAUUGACAAGGGAUAGGUCUAGACGAGCCAUUAGGAGAAAGGCAGACUCAAUGUCCGAUUUUGCCUUUAAUGUGUUUGAAGACCUAGAAUUAAAUGAACCCGAAUCAUUUAAAGAUGCCCUCAGUUCCCAUGAAUCUCACAAAUGGCAAAGUGCCAUGGACAAUGAGAUGGAAUCUUUGAGGAAGAAUCAGACUUGGACCCUUGUCCGUAGACCUCCAAACCACUCAGUUGUUGAUUGCAAGUGGCUUUACAAAGUCAAGGAGGAACCUAAUGAUGUUAGGUUUAAAGCUAGGUUAGUGGCUAAAGGAUUUACUCAAAAAGAGGGGGUAGAUUACACUGAAAUAUUUGCUCCAGUUGUGAAGUUUACUACUGUCAGAAUCAUGCUUGCUUUGUGUGCUCACUUUGAUUGGGAAUUGAAGCAAAUGGAUGUGACUACUGCUUUUCUGCAUGGAGAUUUAGAUGAAAAAAUUUAUAUGUCUCAACCUGAAGGUUAUGUGGAUCCUAAGAAAAGUGACUAUGUGUGUUUACUUAGGAAGGCCCUGUAUGGCCUCAAGCAGUCCCCUAGACAAUGGAACAUAAAGUUUGACAAAUGCAUGCAAUCCUUGAAUUUUGUGAAAUCUGAGUGUGAUCCUUGCUUGUAUUUCAAAACUGCAUCCAAUGUGCCUAUCUUCUUGCUGCUAUAUGUGGAUGAUAUGUUGAUCAUCAGUCCAUGUUUGAAAACCAUAGCUUACGUGCAAAAGUGCCUUUGUGAUAACUUUUCCAUGAAAGACUUAGGUGACGCUAAGAAGAUUUUAGGCAUGAACAUUGUUAGGGAUAGAAGCAAAUCCAUAUUAGUUUUGAAUCAAACCUCAUAUGUUGAAAAGGUUUUGAGUAAAUUUAAUAUGUUGGGUGCUUCUUCUGUGAAUGUCCCACUUGCUUCCCAUUUUGUGUUGAGUAAGGAUCAGUGUCCCAAAACUGAUUCCGAUGUUGAGAAGAUGAAAAAUGUACCUUAUGCAAAUGCCAUAGGAUCCGUGAUGCAUUUAAUGGUAAGUACUAGGCCAGACAUUGCUUAUGCUGUGAGUGUAUUGAGUAGAUACAUGUCCAACCCUGGUAUUGCUCACUGGAAUGCUUUAAAAUGGUUGUUGAGGUAUCUAAAAUCUUCUGUGAAUAAUGGAUUGAUGUUUACUAGAUGUCCUGAAAGUGUUAAGUUGUGUGGUUAUGUUGAUUCCAAUUAUGCUAAUGAUAGAGACAAUAGGAAAUCAACAACGUCCUAUGUGUUUACUCUUUGUGGGUCUGCAUUAGUUGGAAGUCCCAAUUGCAACCCAUUGUUGCAUUGUCAACUACGGAAGCAGAAUAUGUUGCUGCUACAGAGGCUUUCAAGGAGGCUAUAUGGCUUAAACGUCUAGUUUCUGAACUUGGUUAUCUUAAGCAUGAUGUUGUUAUAUAUUCUGAUAGCCAAUCUGCCAUUCAAUUAUGCAAAAAUCCUGUUUUCCAUGAUAGAACAAAACAUAUCGAUGUUAGGUUCCAUUUUAUCCGUGAUAUUGUAGAAACAGGUGAUGUGAAGCUGACCAAGAUCCCAUCAGAAUUCAAUCCGGCUGAUAUGGGAACGAAGUGCCUAUCUGCUGAGAAAUUGCUAUCUUGUAAAAGGAUUCUGAAUUUUGAUUGUGGUUGAUUCUGUGGUUAUGCUUACCCUUUGUGUUGGUUCCUUUUGCUCUGUGCUUACGGGAACCACGCUCCAUCGUAUGACUGGCUCGUGUGCUGAUUGUACUGGAUCAUUGUGGUCCAGGAGAGUGUUGCAAAGCACUCCUCCAAUUGUGUUGCGCUGACCAUUGUGGUUAGCAGGUGUGCCUUGUGCAUCACCCAUGGUUAACUUUCCUUUUUUCUUUUUUCACUGUGUUUUUUUACUUUGUGUUUUAAAACCGGUGAGCAGGCAGUGAUGAAUCCACAACGACGUAUCCACACACCGCCAAGGCCAAUAAGGUGGAGAAUGUAGGAUGGUGUAUUGGCAUUUGGUCAAUUACGCAACCCAUUCCUACUUUGUCAUGAUGAUGGGCCCAACCCCAUCUCUCUUUGUUGACUUUGCCUAAUUUGAAUCCUUUGUCCGCUUAAAUAUUUUGAGCUUCUCCUCUUCCUAUAUAAGCAUCCUUUUCUGUUCCAUCUUUAGAGAACACUUUUUUGCAGCCUAUAACCUAGAGAGAGAAACUGAGCUGUGUGAGACCAGAGAGACCUCUGUGGUAUCCUCUUUUUCCGGCGAUCGCAGCGGCAAGUCUUGUGAGCGUAGAGAGGGCUUCCGUUCCCCGACCUUUGUGUGUCCGUCGUUCUUGCUCCGGUGUGUGGACGUCCCGUGGAAACCCUGAGCCUGUGAGGUGCAAACGUAACACCUAAUUAUCUGGGUUUCCUUUUCUUGCUUUUUUUUUUUCUUUUCCUUAAGUUCUUGAUAUUUUGUUUGCAUUUGCAAUUUUAGAAUUUAAUGCUUACUAAGGAUUGCCCAAAGGCCACAACUGGAAGAGCUCAAAAGGAAAAUUAGCUUGCUACCAGGCAUCCCUUUUCCUUAUUGCUGGCUGUAAAGGCAGCUCCCAGUGACAAUGAUGAAUAUGGUGCCCUGUCUUCAAUCCCAAAGACUGUUAAUGCAACUUGUCUUCAAUCUCAAAGACUGUCACUGCAAUUUUGUAACCAAACAGAUUAGAAGCUGAAUGUGGUGAAAUCAUCCAGCCAACCACCUUUUACUUUGCUUCCAACCCUCUUUUUUUUCCUUAUAUUUAUAGAACCACGUCCAAUUCAAAUUUUCAUUGGCCAUUUUAGAGACUUUCUUAUUCAAUAAAAUAACUCUUUCAUGAUUCAAACAAACCGACAACCAUGGAUACAAAUUUACAUUCAUCUAAACCCAAACUCUUAGGCUAUAUUUAGUAUUACAUAAUGAAAUGAAAUAUAAUCAAUUAUAUAAUAUCUAUGUUUAGUAAAUCGUAAUAUCGUGUUUAUCAACUAAGUAAUAGAAUGAAAGGAGCAACGGAAUGCCUUGUAUUUAUCACCAUCGCCAUUGGUUAC
Molecule: long non-coding RNA, 6303 nt
Filed under: Ricinus communis (castor bean)
Lineage: Eukaryota; Viridiplantae; Streptophyta; Magnoliopsida; Malpighiales; Euphorbiaceae
Description: long non-coding RNA (RCOM_LNC001364)
Source: RNAcentral